This 279-nucleotide ribosomal RNA is filed under the name uncultured bacterium. Its description in RNAcentral is "partial 16S ribosomal RNA". It matches the Rfam family "Bacterial small subunit ribosomal RNA", at positions 506 to 784 of the family's 1533-position model. The record is from RNAcentral.
UGCCAGCAGCCGCGGUAAGACGAACCGACCGAACGUUAUUCGGAAUUACUGGGCUUAAAGGGUGCGUAGGCGGCCUUGUAAGUCAGAUGUGAAAUCCCACGGCUCAACCUGGGAACUGCAUUCGAUACUGGCAGACUAGAGUGCGGGAGAGGGAGGUAGAAUUCCGAGUGUAGAGGUGAAAUUCGUAGAUAUUCGGAGGAACACCAGUGGCGAAGGCGGCUCACUGGCUCGAUACUGACGCUGAGGUGCGAAAGCGUGGGGAGCAAACAGGAUUAGAUA